This 759-nucleotide ribosomal RNA is filed under the name Neisseria subflava. Its description in RNAcentral is "bacterial SSU rRNA". It matches the Rfam family "Bacterial small subunit ribosomal RNA", at positions 28 to 776 of the family's 1533-position model. The record is from RNAcentral. Lineage: Bacteria; Pseudomonadati; Pseudomonadota; Betaproteobacteria; Neisseriales; Neisseriaceae.
AUUGAACGCUGGUGGCAUGCUUUACACAUGCAAGUCGGACGGCAGCACAGAGAAGCUUGCUUCUUGGGUGGCGAGUGGCGAACGGGUGAGUAAUAUAUCGGAACGUACCGAGUAAUGGGGGAUAACUAAUCGAAAGAUUAGCUAAUACCGCAUAUUCUCUGAGGAGGAAAGCAGGGGACCUUCGGGCCUUGCGUUAUUCGAGCGGCCGAUAUCUGAUUAGCUAGUUGGUGGGGUAAAGGCCUACCAAGGCGACGAUCAGUAGCGGGUCUGAGAGGAUGAUCCGCCACACUGGGACUGAGACACGGCCCAGACUCCUACGGGAGGCAGCAGUGGGGAAUUUUGGACAAUGGGCGCAAGCCUGAUCCAGCCAUGCCGCGUGUCUGAAGAAGGCCUUCGGGUUGUAAAGGACUUUUGUCAGGGAAGAAAAGGCUGUUGCUAAUAUCGACAGCUGAUGACGGUACCUGAAGAAUAAGCACCGGCUAACUACGUGCCAGCAGCCGCGGUAAUACGUAGGGUGCGAGCGUUAAUCGGAAUUACUGGGCGUAAAGCGAGCGCAGACGGUUACUUAAGCAGGAUGUGAAAUCCCCGGGCUCAACCUGGGAACUGCGUUCUGAACUGGGUGACUAGAGUGUGUCAGAGGGAGGUAGAAUUCCACGUGUAGCAGUGAAAUGCGUAGAGAUGUGGAGGAAUACCGAUGGCGAAGGCAGCCUCCUGGGAUAACACUGACGUUCAUGCUCGAAAGCGUGGGUAGCAAACAGG